CUUGGUCAUUCCUAAUUUAAUUGAGUUCCUUUUUUCUUUGAAAUGGCAAUAAGGUAGUGCUGGAAUUUUCAGUUCAAAUGACCAAAAAAAGAAAAUGUAUAGCCGUCUUCUAAUCUUAGAGGAAUUCUAGGAAUUUCAUCAUAGUUCUAGUGGCCAAUCCUACAUUUCCCUUCUUGACAUUGUAAAAAAAAAACAUUGUUAGCAUUUACUUUAUCAUUUGUACACCCUUUUUGAUGAUUGAAUAUUGGAAAAGAGGCCAUCUAGUGCAGAAACAUGUAUCCCAAGUUGAAGAAUGUUGCAUAAGAAGAUGAUAAGCACACAAAUAUUUGCGACAUUCUAUGUUUCUAUUACAGAUGUUUGUUGCCACAUAAAGAUGUUCUCACCCUAAUGGAAGUCCAAGUAUUUUUUUUUCUCUGCUAGCAAUAUCCAUAAAUUUUGAGGCUUAUAUCUUACUUGGUGCAGCAGAACUGGAAAGUAUAAGCAAUUUCUUAGCAUGGUAAUCCUUAGCAUUACAACUUACUUGCUGACAUACUCCUAGUGCCAGAGCUAGUAGACAAUACUUCAAUAAUAGCUCAUGAUCACAUUUAUACCCAAGUUGUAGGCUCAAAUAUGUAUUUUAGAAGAUUAGAAUCAACAAAUAAAAUUAAGACCUUGUAGAAACAAAUCACAGAAGAAACUACUAAUUUCCUUGAAUCGGAUCAAACUGUAGGUUUUUCAAUGGAUCAAUUCCAUGAGGGAAGUUAAAAUAAUUUCUCAAAGUCGCUAAUUCUUAUCACUUCACGUAUUUGGUCAACUAUCUUUAUGUCUCAACUAUCUUCAAAGUAACUCGACCCAGAAUGAAAUGACAAACCAUUCCUAAUAUAAAGAGUUUUGAGAUUUAACUGGAGUAUUUAUCUCAAACAACCAAUGCCUAACUCACUUGCUACUUGUAAAAAUGUGCUUGCAUUUUAAUUUCCCAUUAUGAUGAUAUCAUAACUUUUAACAAUAAUUUUUACAGCCUUGGGAAAUUUGGAUUCUCAAGAUACAUAUAUCUGGGGCACAAAGCAUAUAACCAAUAUUUUACCAACUACAACCUUUGAAAAUACAAGUUCCAAGAUAACCAUAGUCCUAUCCCUCCAAAUCUUCAUUACAAACAUACACAAGAUCAUUAGUUUAUCAUUCCAAACUAAAUUCAAAUAAAACAUUAGAAAUCAGAAUCUCGAAAAUAAACCAUAAUCCAACAGAACAAAUUUUAUCAUUAGGGAAAAGUAAAAAAAAUUUUUACCUUAGAUUCAUUUUUGGACUUGUGGGCAGUAGCUUCAGUAUUUUUUGCCAUAGGAAAAGCUGCUCCUUUAGAUAUGGAGAAAAAGGAAACAAAUUAGAAAAACCCAAAAAAUAAAACCUAUUUUGAAAAACACCAAACCUGAGAAACCAUCAGACUACAUUUCUAUGAAAAAGCACAAGAAUAAUAAAGCUUCCAUCUUUGAUAGUAAUUUCAUCCCCCACUUUACACAAACUCUUCCUCUUCAACAAUCAACCCCUCUUAUAAACACACAUUCAAUACAUCAAAGUAUUAAACAAAAGCACAAAAUUUACUUAAUUUGUACUAAUAAGUUCAUUAUCAUAGAAUUCUCUCAACUUUGAACUACUCUUUUCUUUACCCUUUGUGGCAUCCAAUUUCACAAAAACACACAGCAUGGAAACUGAAAGCAAUGAGAUCCCAUGAUAAUAUUGAUAAUAAAUUAGCGGAAAGAUACAAAAAUAAAGGGCGGUGAGCUUACAAGUGAAGAAUUGUGUAUCCAUAGGCGUAAGUGCAGAUAAAUGUACAUGUUAAGUAUUUUGGGUUCAAUAAAAGCACUUUCUGAAGCUAGACAUGAGAAACAAUAGAACUAUCACGUAUUCAGAUAACAACCAUAUACAUCAUAGAACAAAUCCCAUUAUGAUGAUAUCACAACUAUAUCCAGAACAAGCAGAAGUUUUUAAAUGGUACUUUCUCGUACAACAAAGUAUGGAACCUGUAAACCCGAAUAGCAAAGAAGGACAGAGCAACUGAUUUCGCUUUUUCAAAUGUCAAACUAUCAAUCCUUAAUUGCCACCAAUUUGUAAAAAAUUGCGAUAUCUUUGAACUACUUGAAACUCUUAAAAUUAUCUCCUGCAUUUAAAGCAAUGUUAAACUUUACUGUUAGAAAAUCUAAAGAAAUCUCUGUUUUCUCGAUUAAUAAAUAGAAUUGUCUAAAAAUGAACUAUAUCCACAAUGAAAAACAAAAAUUCAUGGAAUAUGAAAAAGAAACCUAUCUACAGUAAUCUAGAGUAACGUAUCUGCACAAGUGAAACACAAACUGACUUAUAAUAAAUUUUCCAGGUAAUGAAGCAUUCGGAGCAGCUAAUUACAAUCUUGAGUGUCAAAACGCACAAGUCUCCUAACGGGGAAUCUGAAAUAAAAUUGUGGACUUCACUCUAAUAAAGAUGAGUCGGGCAUAUCAUCUUCUUGGGUGCAUAGGCCGCUUCAAUGAUUAUUAUUAUUAUUAUUAUUAUUAUUAUUAUUAUUAUUAUUAUUAUUAUUAUUAUUAUUAUUAUUAUUAUUAUUAUUAUUAUUAUUAUUAUUCAUAAUCACACUAUAAAAAAGGAAAAAACAUAGAGAUUGAAACUCAAGCUGGUAAAGCAAUCAUACCAGGUGUAUAUUAACGGUAACCACCGAUCAGCCCGUCCUCCAUCUCUCCGUGUUUGUCUCCUAUUUCAGAAUUGCAUCUUUAGAUAGGUUAAUCUGCAGGAAAAAAAUAACGUAAAUUAAGAGACCCAAUCUUCAAACGAAUAUUGAUACCACAAAAUUUUGAUAAAAAGAUAAAUUUCAUCAAACAAAUAAAGUAAAUGUGCAAAUCAAGAAC
RNAcentral lists this long non-coding RNA (2864 nucleotides) under Nicotiana tabacum (common tobacco). RNAcentral describes it as "long non-coding RNA (NTAB_LNC009700)". Lineage: Eukaryota; Viridiplantae; Streptophyta; Magnoliopsida; Solanales; Solanaceae. The record is from RNAcentral.